CUCCAUUGUUGUGUAAGGUUAGCUUAGAGAAGUGACGACAAUGGAAGGCAGCUGGGAUACGUGCAUCCCGAACUGCCCAUGUUGCGAGCAUAUACCACCAGUCUACUGCUUCUGUAACUCUUCUUCUCCCCAACACAUUACACCCUGCGUCCCUCGCUAUCCUUGUUGCCAACACAGUUGUACCAGCCCACAUGAAUCGCUGCCGACGCCCCAGCCAUCACCCUCACUUCAUCAGCCGGAGGAUUCACCCCAUGACAAACUAAUUUAUGGAAUGGACCUUCCCCCUAAAGUCGCCUUCUCCGUUUUGGAUGAUGCACAGCCAUCUUUGAGAGAUAAAAAACUUUAUCUGAUGGCAUUUCAACUUAGCUUAAUGAUCAUCUGGAGUGCUAUGAUUAUUCCCUCCAUGCUUGCCGGAGUAAUGGGUGGCGGCAAUGUGGAGAAGGCUGAGGCAAUCCAGACUUCGCUAUUUAUGACGGGGAUGAACACAUUCUUGCAGAUUUUCUGGGGUAAUCAGCUUUCUGCGGUGAUGAGUACAUCCAAAGCUUUCGUCACCUCAGCCAUCUCCAUAGCUGUAUCAAUCAACAAUAAAUUUGGUGACACACUUACUCCACGUCAGAGGUUUGAACUAUCCAUGAGACGUAUACAAGGAGCAAGCAUCAUUGGGUCCUUCCUUCAAAUAAUCUUUGGUUACAGUGGUCUGGCCAAGUUUUUUGCAAGGUAUAGCAAUGCUGUGCUAAAAGUGUCUAUACUGGAUUUGGGAUAUUUUAUUUGGUUAAGAGCUUUAAUUUGGAUUUUCUUUGAUGCCAUGCCAGCAAGCUUCGCUAUGUCUCUUCUAUUCUUCUUGUGACUCUCACUGGACUUGAGUUAUAUUCACGUGGAUUGCCACAAGUAAGAUAGAAAGCUGAUCGACUGGUAUUAUUUAUCAUUUUGCGAAAUAGAUUUGAUUUGUUAAACGGGUUGUUAUAUAGAGUAGGGUGAUAAUUGAACAAAACAAGAAAAGAAAAUAUAGAGAAAAUAUCUUCCGCAAAUCUUGAGAGAAAUAUGUGAAACAAGAAAAUAUCAAACAAGAAGCAAACACAGUA
This 1082-nucleotide unclassified non-coding RNA is filed under the name Hevea brasiliensis (rubber tree). Lineage: Eukaryota; Viridiplantae; Streptophyta; Magnoliopsida; Malpighiales; Euphorbiaceae. The record is from RNAcentral.